This is a long non-coding RNA of Macrosteles quadrilineatus (aster leafhopper), 768 nucleotides long. RefSeq lists it as uncharacterized. NCBI's taxonomy places the organism in Eukaryota, Metazoa, Arthropoda, Insecta, Hemiptera, Cicadellidae. The transcript is spliced from 2 exons. The record is from RefSeq and is a predicted model, not a curated record.
GACAGCUCCAUCAGUCUGGCUGUUCCUGAGAGUCCUGAACUGAGUCUGCUGUGUAGCAACAAGGGGAAGAUCAUUGUGGUGGGAGGAGACACCAUGAGUGAUGCUACCACGUUCUCCAGACUGCUUUUCAACAGUGGUUUCCCCAGAGUUUGUUGUCUUCAUAGAGGAAUGGCCGUGUUGAAAGACACCCUACUGAUGACUCCAAUCAUGACAUAAAUAUAUAACGUUAUCUAUUCAUAUCUGUGAUAUAAAGUAUGGUUAACAAAGAAACUGCAUAACUAUCGAAGGACAUUUCAAAAAGAGAAAAAUUCAGAAUGUGCUUCGAAUGUUGUGUUUUUUUGAAUUUUUUUAUGAAAUAUUUUAGCUUUAAAAUAUAUUGUUAUGGUGUAUUCGUGUGGACGUGUUUGGAUCACAAAGUUACAAACAGUAUCAGAAAAUCUUAUUUUAACUUGCAAAAGAAUAAUAAUAUUUUUUCAUAUUUAUUUGUAUUUAAGAAAAUAAUUUAUCUAGGUUUGAAGUUGCUGGAAAGUGUAUGUUAGUUUUACAAGCCGUUUUUGUUGACUGCAUUUUAACCAAAUUAUAUUUAUAAUAGUGAAUACAUGUUUGUAUGUACAGUAUAUAAAAUAUAUUUUUUCCUUUAACAUAUUAUUCAACGUCCUCUUUUAAAACACAAGCUUUAAUAUAUUUAAGCUUAUUGUUACCUGUAAAUUGUAAGCAUGAAUGUAAAGUGAUAAAUAUAAUUUUGUAUUAUAUUAAGCAUCUAAUUUU